Molecule: ribosomal RNA, 200 nt
Filed under: uncultured bacterium
Lineage: Bacteria
Description: partial 16S ribosomal RNA
Rfam family: Bacterial small subunit ribosomal RNA
Source: RNAcentral
AACGAACGCUGGCGGCAGGCUUAACACAUGCAAGUCGAACGCCCCGCAAGGGGAGUGGCAGACGGGUGAGUAACGCGUGGGAAUCUACCCAGAACUACGGAACAACUGAGGGAAACUUCAGCUAAUACCGUAUACGCCCUACGGGGAAAGAUUUAUCGGUUCUGGAUGAGCCCGCGUAAGAUUAGCUAGUUGGUGGGGUA